UAAUACAUCGAGACGUACCUAAUAGUUGGGGAUAGCUGACCGAAAGGUUAGAUAAUACCGAAUAAUCUCUGAGGAGGAAAGCUGGGGACUUAGCUUGCUAGGCCUGGCGCUGUUAGAGCGGUCGAUGGUUGAUUAGCUAGUUGGUGGGGUAAAGGCUUACCAAGGCGAUGAUCAAUAGCUGUUCUGAGAGGAAGAUCAGCCACACUGGGACUGAGACACGGCCCAGACUCC
RNAcentral lists this ribosomal RNA (231 nucleotides) under uncultured bacterium. RNAcentral describes it as "partial 16S ribosomal RNA". It matches the Rfam family "Bacterial small subunit ribosomal RNA", at positions 111 to 339 of the family's 1533-position model. The record is from RNAcentral.